AGGCUUUUUAUUAUUACAAGAUACUCAGGGAGGAUGGAAUUUUCUUGUUAUUCCCUGUUGUCACUGUUGGACAUGAAAGAAAGACAAAAGACUCGUAGUUGCAGGCAGCAGUAAGGUGCCCCUUUGCCUUCUCCAGGCUGAACAGAUCCAGCUCACUCAAAAGCUGCUCAUGUGUCCUGUGCUCCGUCCCUGACAGCGUGGUGGCCUUCUCUGGACUCUGGUACAUCUGUGCCUAUAGAGCACCAGGAGCUCACACUGGUGCCAGCACUCACAGGGGCCUUGCAAGCAGAGUCAGCUGGGCACUGAGGAGGCACCACAGCAGAUCUGCAGCAUGUCCACAGGCACCACUUGGAUCCCAUCACAGCUUUGCCCUCUGGAUGAUGCACUGAGGAUGCACAAUGGGAGAAGAUGCUCAGUGUCACUGUGAGUUGAAUGCCUGCUUCUGCCAGGCUCUUGGAGGAGAGUUUAUGUCAUGCAGAUGUUUGUAGAGAUGGAACUUUUUGUUUAGACCCAGGUUUAUUCCUGUCCCACCCUGAUCACCUCCCUCAUUUACAGAGUUGUGAAUUAUCUGCAUCUGAAAGGCUGACUCAUCCCCUGAGCAAAGCCUCCUUGCAAAUUGCUCUGGUAUAAAUCAGCUUGUGUUUCAGAGUAGAACAGGUGCUGAUAAAAAGCCAUGUAAUAUCAAAACUAAUACAAAAGGAGGA
Long non-coding RNA from Hirundo rustica (Barn swallow), 704 nucleotides. RefSeq lists it as uncharacterized. Lineage: Eukaryota; Metazoa; Chordata; Aves; Passeriformes; Hirundinidae. The record is from RefSeq and is a predicted model, not a curated record. The transcript is spliced from 3 exons.